CAGUUUACAAAAGCGAAUGAGUUAGUGAUCUAAUAAGUGGUGAUGAAGAAAUAUUCAUACCAAGUCGAGAGGUGUUAAUCAGCAAUAAAAAGGAAAAAAGGUUUUAACAAUUUCAUGGAACUGUUUCGCAUCAAAAGUAAGAAGAAAUCCGAUUUUGGUCAAUUCCAAGCAAACAGAAAGUUUUAUUUACCAAUGAAUAUCCUACACGUUCACCUAACAUUUCUUAUUUUAUUCCAUUUCUUCGGUGGAUUUUGAUGUUCGGCGUUCAAUUCCGUAAAGGUGUCGUUUAUUUGGGGAAUUUCUGCCCAAAUAUUAUUUCAUAUUUUUUAUCAUUUUCGAUUUUUGUUGCAUUCUUAUAAAUUCGAUGCUCGUAGUUCUAGUAUUAUCCUUCCUGACUACUUAUCAUUCAUACAACAAGUACCGCACAUAAAUUCCUGUCUGCAUGCAUGAAAACCCAUCCUGGAAAAAUAGAAUUACCAUUGUUUAAACUUUUUGUGUAAAGUUGUUAACCAAAAAUAGAUAUGGGAAUAAUGCAAGUAAAGUAAAUUAUUUUUAUA
Molecule: long non-coding RNA, 557 nt
Organism: Folsomia candida
Lineage: Eukaryota; Metazoa; Arthropoda; Collembola; Entomobryomorpha; Isotomidae
Exons: 2
Source: RefSeq, a predicted model, not a curated record